Bos taurus (domestic cattle) is the source of this 73-nucleotide non-coding RNA. NCBI's taxonomy places the organism in Eukaryota, Metazoa, Chordata, Mammalia, Artiodactyla, Bovidae. The record is from Rfam.
UCCCUGCUGGUCCGAUGGUUAGGACUCUGCACUCUAAAUGCAGAGUGCCCAGGUUCAAUCCCUGGUUGGGGAA